UACGAAGGGUGCAAGCGUUAAUCGGACUUACUGGGCGUAAAGCGCGCGUCGGUGGUUCAGUAAGUUGGAAGUGAAAUCCCCGGGCUCAACCUGGGAACUGCUUUCAAAACUGCUGAGCUAGAGUACGGUAGAGGGUGGUGGAAUUUCCUGUGUAGCGGUGAAAUGCGUAGAUAUAGGAAGGAACACCAGUGGCGAAGGCGACCACCUGGACUGAUACUGACACUGAGGUGCGAAAGCGUGGGGAGCAAACAGG
RNAcentral lists this ribosomal RNA (253 nucleotides) under uncultured bacterium. RNAcentral describes it as "partial 16S ribosomal RNA". It matches the Rfam family "Bacterial small subunit ribosomal RNA", at positions 524 to 776 of the family's 1533-position model. The record is from RNAcentral.